GAGCUCGAGCGCAGCUACGUACGCAUCCCAGCAUGGCUUUCACUUCCAGAGCCUUGGCCGCGUUCCUGUGCGUGCUCCUGGCCUCACUCAUGUUCCUCGCGCAGCACGCGUUCGCCGCCAGAGGUACUUUGAGCAACGAGACGCCAUACGGGGUCACCUACAAGGCCCCGCCCGGUGGUUAUGGGAGUUCUCCUCCAUGAUAGGCCGGAGAUGAUGAUACUUGGAGCAGCGAAACACAAAUACGUACGGCGGAGCAUGAAUAAAUUUGCACUAGUUGCUGAUAUAAAGCAAAGCAUAGUGAUGCACGGUUUUAUGUUGUUAUUGAGUUUCCCUUUAUAUAUAUACAAAUAAACACCCUUGUGGUGGUUUGCG
This 372-nucleotide ribosomal RNA is filed under the name Triticum aestivum (bread wheat). RNAcentral describes it as "partial small subunit ribosomal RNA". Lineage: Eukaryota; Viridiplantae; Streptophyta; Magnoliopsida; Poales; Poaceae. The record is from RNAcentral.